RNAcentral lists this ribosomal RNA (599 nucleotides) under Solicoccozyma phenolica. Its description in RNAcentral is "LSU rRNA". It matches the Rfam family "Eukaryotic large subunit ribosomal RNA", at positions 56 to 641 of the family's 3401-position model. Lineage: Eukaryota; Fungi; Basidiomycota; Tremellomycetes; Filobasidiales; Piskurozymaceae. The record is from RNAcentral.
AAGAAAGAACUAACAAGGAUUCCCCUAGUAACGGCGAGUGAAGCGGGAAAAGCUCAAAUUUGAAAUCUGGUAGCCUCAGGCUGCCCGAGUUGUAAUCUAUAGAAACGUUUUCCGCGCUGGCCCAUGUACAAGUCUCCUGGAAUGGAGCGUCAUAGAGGGUGAGAAUCCCGUCCUUGACAUGGACUACCAGUGCUUUGUGAUACGUUUUCAAAGAGUCGAGUUGUUUGGGAAUGCAGCUCAAAAUGGGUGGUAAAUUCCAUCUAAAGCUAAAUAUUGGCGAGAGACCGAUAGCGAACAAGUACCGUGAGGGAAAGAUGAAAAGCACUUUGGAAAGAGAGUUAAACAGUAUGUGAAAUUGUUGAAAGGGAAACGAUUGAAGUCAGUCAUGUCUAUUGGACUCAGCCGGUUCUGCCGGUGUACUUCCUUUAGAUGGGGUCAACAUCAGUUUUGAUCGCUGGAAAAGGGCAGGAGGAAUGUAGCACUCUCGGGUGAACUUAUAGCCUCCUGUCGUAUACAGUGGUUGGGACUGAGGAACGCAGCAUGCCUUUAUGGCCGGGGUUCGCCCACGUACAUGCUUAGGAUGUUGACAUAAUGGCUUU